RNAcentral lists this ribosomal RNA (381 nucleotides) under uncultured bacterium. RNAcentral describes it as "bacterial SSU rRNA". It matches the Rfam family "Bacterial small subunit ribosomal RNA", at positions 29 to 412 of the family's 1533-position model. The record is from RNAcentral.
AUUGAACGCUGGCGGCAUGCCUUACACAUGCAAGUCGAACGGCAGCACGGGGCAACCUGGCGGCGAGCGGCGAACGGGUGAGUAAUGCAUCGGAACGUACCCUGGAGUGGGGGAUAACGCCGCGAAAGCGGCGCUAAUACCGCAUAUGCUCUGAGGAGGAAAGUGGGGGGACCGCAAGGCCUCACGCUCUGGGAGCGGCCGAUGUCCGAUUAGCUAGUUGGUGGGGUAAAGGCUUACCAAGGCGACGAUCGGUAGCUGGUCUGAGAGGAUGAUCAGCCACACUGGGACUGAGACACGGCCCAGACUCCUACGGGAGGCAGCAGUGGGGAAUUUUGGACAAUGGGGGCAACCCUGAUCCAGCCAUGCCGCGUGAGUGAAGAA